GGCUUUAUAGUCAAUUUAUGAUAUUAGACUGCAAUUCUAAAGUAGGAAUUCCUAAAGCUU
Molecule: transfer RNA, 60 nt
Filed under: Urostylis sp. HL-2012
Lineage: Eukaryota; Metazoa; Arthropoda; Insecta; Hemiptera; Urostylididae
Description: tRNA-Cys
Source: RNAcentral